Nasonia vitripennis (jewel wasp) is the source of this 870-nucleotide RNA transcript. It is a transcript of the gene named 40S ribosomal protein S8, with no coding region annotated. Lineage: Eukaryota; Metazoa; Arthropoda; Insecta; Hymenoptera; Pteromalidae. The record is from RefSeq and is a predicted model, not a curated record. The transcript has 5 exons.
GAUGGGUGAGUUACAAAACUUCGCACAUGUCCCCGAAAAUCCUUAAACAUCCACGAAUUUACGGGUUUUUGUUAUAAACAAUGUCGAUAGUUCGAUUCAGCGAUUCGUCCUGCACAAAAUUCAAUUUGUAUAUUUUAGAUUUUUCGCGAAACUUGCGCAAAAGUGUUGGUUAACCGCGACCCUGCGAACUGUUGUGAUGCCUAUGUUAUACACGUAUCUCUCGUGACCACUGGCAUAAAAGGCGUGCUACGGGUGGCAAGAGGAAGCCACUCCGUAAGAAGAGGAAGUUCGAGUUAGGACGUCCCGCUGCCAACACUAAGCUUGGACCUCAGCGUAUCCACACUGUACGCACGAGAGGAGGUAACAAAAAAUACAGAGCUCUGCGUCUUGACUCUGGUAACUUUGCUUGGGGCUCAGAAGGUAGAGCACGCAAGACCCGUAUCAUUGAUGUUGUUUAUAAUGCAUCAAACAACGAGUUGGUGAGAACCAAGACUUUGGUUAAGAACGCCAUUGUUACUAUUGAUGCAACGCCUUUCAGACAGUGGUACGAAGCACACUAUGCUCUGCCCUUGGGACGCAAACGUGGAGCUAAACUGACUGAAACUGAAGAGGAAGUCCUCAACAAGAAGAGGUCGAAAAAGGCACAGGCCAAGUACAAGGCCAGACAGCGAUUUGCCAAAGUAGAGCAAGGUUUGGAAGAUCAGUUUGCUACUGGAAGAGUUCUUGCUUGCAUCGCUAGCAGGCCUGGACAGUGUGGAAGAUCCGACGGUUACAUUCUUGAGGGCAAAGAGCUCGAGUUUUACUUGAGAAAGAUCAAGAGCAAGAAGGCGAAGUAAAUUUGUAACAUGAAAAUGAAUAAAACGCGUACAU